This 75-nucleotide transfer RNA is filed under the name Blautia hansenii. RNAcentral's name for it is "tRNA-Val(tac)". It matches the Rfam family "tRNA". Rfam says of the family: Transfer RNA (tRNA) molecules are approximately 80 nucleotides in length. RNAcentral also lists the same sequence under 28 other names. Lineage: Bacteria; Bacillati; Bacillota; Clostridia; Lachnospirales; Lachnospiraceae. The record is from RNAcentral.
UGGGAUCUUAGCUCAGCUGGGAGAGCAUCUGCCUUACAAGCAGAGGGUCACAGGUUCGAGCCCUGUAGGUCCCAU